This is a non-coding RNA of Chiloscyllium plagiosum (whitespotted bambooshark), 72 nucleotides long. The record is from the annotation of a RefSeq genome assembly. NCBI's taxonomy places the organism in Eukaryota, Metazoa, Chordata, Chondrichthyes, Orectolobiformes, Hemiscylliidae.
UCCCUGGUGGCCUAGUGGUUAGGAUUUGGUGCUCUUGCUGCCACGGCCUGGGUUCGAUUCCCAGUCAGGGAA